ACGAACGCUGGCGGCAGGCUUAACACAUGCAAGUCGAGCGCCCCGCAAGGGGAGCGGCAGACGGGUGAGUAACGCGUGGGAAUCUACCUUUUGCUACGGAAUAACGCAGGGAAACUUGUGCUAAUACCGUAUGUGUCCUUCGGGAGAAAGAUUUAUCGGCAAGAGAUGAGCCCGCGUUGGAUUAGCUAGUUGGUGGGGUAAAGGCCUACCAAGGCGACGAUCCAUAGCUGGUCUGAGAGGAUGAUCA
This 247-nucleotide ribosomal RNA is filed under the name uncultured Rhizobium sp. RNAcentral describes it as "partial 16S ribosomal RNA". It matches the Rfam family "Bacterial small subunit ribosomal RNA", at positions 29 to 306 of the family's 1533-position model. Lineage: Bacteria; Pseudomonadati; Pseudomonadota; Alphaproteobacteria; Hyphomicrobiales; Rhizobiaceae. The record is from RNAcentral.